Molecule: long non-coding RNA, 1382 nt
Filed under: Ananas comosus (pineapple)
Lineage: Eukaryota; Viridiplantae; Streptophyta; Magnoliopsida; Poales; Bromeliaceae
Description: long non-coding RNA (ACOM_LNC036743)
Source: RNAcentral
UUAUUUUUUGUUAGAAACGUGAUUUGCUCUGAUAUUAAUUGUUGGAAGCGUGAUUUUUUCUGAUAUCAAUUAUUGGAACUGAUAUUUAUACUGAUACCGAUUAUAUAACCCAAGAUCUAAAAUAUAAAGAAGAGAGAUAUUUAUUGGAGGAAAAAGAAAACUAAACUAAUACUAUAUUAAUAAAAAGUAAUUAAUUACAUUCUGGGCAACACCUAUGUAGCCAUAUUUACUGUGGCUUAUUCCUCUAAGGGUGCGUUUGGUUCGAGUUAUCUUGACAGGAUUACAGGCAAUCCUGUCAGGAUUACUGUGUUUGGUUCAUCCGCUAUGUAAUCUAGUCGUUAAUGUAGCAUUACAAAUCGAGCAGGAUUACACCGAAAAUAUUAAUGAGAGGGAUAUAUCUUGCAUUAUUGAAAAUCGGUAAUACUACAUAUUAUGUAAAUUACAAUUUUACCCCUCUAACUCUCGAAACCCUUUCAAUACGUCAUUUUAAAAAAUUUAAUUUUAAAUUUUGAAUUGUCAACUUUUAAAUUUUAAAUUUUAAAUUUAAAUUUUUAAUUUUUAAUUUUUAAAUUUGUAAACUUCAAAUUUAAAUUUUUAAUUUUUAAUUUGAAUUUAAAUUUUAGAUUUUAAAUUACAAAUUUUAGAUUUUAAAUUUUAAUUUUUAAAUUUCAAAUUUAAAUUUUUAAAAUUUAAAUUUUAAAUUUCAAAUUUCAAAUUUAAAUUUCAAAUUUCAAAUUUCAAAUUUAAAUUUCAAAUUUCAAAUUUUAAACUUUAAAUUUUAAAUUUAUUUUUUUUAAAUUUAAAAUUUAAAAUUUAAAAUUCUAAAUUUGUAUUUUUAAUUUAUGAAUUAUAAAUUUUAGAUUUUAAAUUUAUAAAUUUCAUAUUUUUAUUUUAAAUUAAUUUAUUAAAUUUAUAUUUUUGUUCAAAUUUAAAAAUUAAAAAUUAAAAAUUAAAUUAUUCAAAAUAAAAUUUAGUAAAAAAAUAUUAUUUGUGAAUAGUAAAAAAAUAGUUUACAAAAUAUGGUUAAGGGCAAUUUUGGAAUAGACUAUACUUUAUUUUCUAGAUUACUGAAUGUUAUAGACAGAACUAAAUAUAUUAAUGCUAUAAACACUGCAACCUAGCAUUACAUUACUGUAUUAAACCAAACGCGCUAAUGCAGCAUAAGUAGUAAUCUCUUUUAGAAAUCCAAGAUAUCCGGAUAUAUUGAAAUACUCUAUAAUAUUAUAUAACUUGAACCAAACACGCCCUAAUUAACGUAUGCCUAACUAUAUAUAUCUCAUCAAAUCAUAACAGAUGAUAAAUCCAACUUUUAUUUUGAAGAACUACAAAUUCUAAUCAAAAUCAAAUAAAAGACUUAAAUUUAUCCCUAACUAUAUUUUAAU